RNAcentral lists this ribosomal RNA (253 nucleotides) under uncultured bacterium. RNAcentral's name for it is "partial 16S ribosomal RNA". It matches the Rfam family "Bacterial small subunit ribosomal RNA", at positions 524 to 776 of the family's 1533-position model. The record is from RNAcentral.
UACAGAGGUCUCAAGCGUUGUUCGGAUUCAUUGGGCGUAAAGGGUGCGUAGGUGGCGCGUUAAGUCAGGUGUGAAAUUUCGGGGCUUAACUCCGAAACUGCAUUUGAUACUGGCGUGCUUGAGGACUGGAGAGGAGACUGGAAUUCAUGGUGUAGCGGUGAAAUGCGUAGAGAUCAUGAGGAAGACCAGUGGCGAAGGCGGGUCUCUGGACAGUUCCUGACACUGAGGCACGAAGGCGAGGGGAGCAAACGGG